UAGCUUGACACUGAACAUUGAGCCUUGAUGUGUAGGAUAGGUGGGAGGCUUUGAAGUGUGGACGCCAGUCUGCAUGGAGCCGACCUUGAAAUACCACCCUUUAAUGUUUGAUGUUCUAACGUGGACCCGUGAUCCGGGUUGCGGACAGUGUCUGGUGGGUAGUUUGACUGGGGCGGUCUCCUCCUAAAGAGUAACGGAGGAGCACGAAGGUUGGCUAAUCCUGGUCGGACAUCAGGAGGUUAGUGCAAUGGCAUAAGCCAGCUUGACUGCGAGCGUGACGGCGCGAGCAGGUGCGAAAGCAGGUCAUAGUGAUCCGGUGGUUCUGAAUGGAAGGGCCAUCGCUCAACGGAUAAAAGGUACUCCGGGGAUAACAGGCUGAUACCGCCCAAGAGUUCAUAUCGACGGCGGUGUUUGGCACCUCGAUGUCGGCUCAUCACAUCCUGGGGCUGAAGUAGGUCCCAAGGGUAUGGCUGUUCGCCAUUUAAAGUGGUACGCGAGCUGGGUUUAGAACGUCGUGAGACAGUUCGGUCCCUAUCUGCCGUGGGCGCUGGAGAACUGAGGGGGGCUGCUCCUAGUACGAGAGGACCGGAGUGGACGCAUCACUGGUGUUCGGGUUGUCAUGCCAAUGGCACUGCCCGGUAGCUAAAUGCGGAAGAGAUAAGUGCUGAAAGCAUCUAAGCACGAAACUUGCCCCGAGAUGAGUUCUCCCUGAGACUUAGAGUCUCCUGAAGGAACGUUGAAGACGACGACGUUGAUAGGCCGGGUGUGUAAGCGCAGCGAUGCGUUGAGCUAACCGGUACUAAUGAACCGUGAGGCUUAACCUUACAACGCCGAAG
Molecule: ribosomal RNA, 836 nt
Filed under: Salmonella enterica subsp. enterica serovar Infantis
Lineage: Bacteria; Pseudomonadati; Pseudomonadota; Gammaproteobacteria; Enterobacterales; Enterobacteriaceae
Also listed under: 1 other name
Description: partial 23S ribosomal RNA
Rfam family: Bacterial large subunit ribosomal RNA
Source: RNAcentral